AGAGUUUGAUCCUGGCUCAGGAUGAACGCUGGCGGCGUGCUUAACACAUGCAAGUCGAACGGUGCCUUCGGGCACAGUGGCGAACGGGUGCGUAACACGUAGACAAUCUGCCCCGGAGCGGGGGAUAACCACUGGAAACGGUGGCUAAUACCGCGUACGCUCGAAAGAGGAAAGGCCUUCGGGUCGCUCUGGGAGGAGUCUGCGGCCUAUCAGCUAGUUGGCGAGGUAACGGCUCACCAAGGCGAUGACGGGUAGCUGGCCUGAGAGGGUGGUCAGCCACAUGGGGACUGAGAAACGGCCCCAACUCCUACGGGAGGCAGCAGUGAGGAAUAUUGCCCAAUGGGGGAAACCCUGAGGCAGCAACGCCGCGUGGAGGAUGACGUCCUUCGGGAUGUAAACUCCUUUUCAGGGGGAGCAGGAAGGAGCGUACCCCUGGAAGAAGUCACGGCUAACUACGUGCCAGCAGCCGCGGUAACACGUAGGUGACAAGCGUUAUCCGGAUUUACUGGGCGUAAAGGGUCCGUAGGUGGCGAUCGAGGUCUGUUGUGAAAUCUCCCGGCUCAACUGGGAGGAGCCAAUGGAAACCGGGUCGCUAGAGUCACACAGAGGUCACUCGAAUUCCCGGUGUAGUGGUGGAAUGCGUAGAGAUCGGGAGGAAGACCAGAGGCGCAAGCGGGUGACUGGGUGAUGACUGACACUGAGGGACGAAAGCGUGGGGAGCGAACAGGAUUAGAUACCCCGGUAGUCC
Molecule: ribosomal RNA, 748 nt
Filed under: uncultured bacterium
Lineage: Bacteria
Description: bacterial SSU rRNA
Rfam family: Bacterial small subunit ribosomal RNA
Source: RNAcentral